GAAAUGCGAUAAGUAAUGUGAAUUGCAGAAUUCAGUGAAUCAUCGAAUCUUUGAACGCACCUUGCGCUCCUUGGUAUUCCUUGGAGCAUGCCUGUUUGAGUAUCAUGAAAUCUUCAAAGUAAAUCUUUUGUUAACUCAAUUGGUUUCUACUUUGGUAUUGGAGGUCUUUGCAGCUUCACACCUGCUCCUCUUUGUUCAUUAGCUGGAUCUCAGUGUUAUGCUUGGUUCCACUCGGCGUGAUAAGUUAUCUAUCGCUGAGGACACUGUAAAAGGUGGCCAAGAUAAAUGCAGAUGAACCGCUUCUAAUAGUCCAUUGACUUGGACAAUACUUUUAUGAUCUGAUCUCAAGUCAGGUAGGACUACCCGCUGAACUUAAGC
This 378-nucleotide unclassified non-coding RNA is filed under the name plant metagenome. RNAcentral's name for it is "partial contains 5.8S ribosomal RNA, internal transcribed spacer 2, and large subunit ribosomal RNA". The stretch from base 1 to 105 matches the Rfam family "5.8S ribosomal RNA", at positions 50 to 154 of the family's 154-position model. The record is from RNAcentral.